RNAcentral lists this long non-coding RNA (261 nucleotides) under Elaeis guineensis (African oil palm). RNAcentral describes it as "long non-coding RNA (EGUI_LNC026412)". The record is from RNAcentral. Lineage: Eukaryota; Viridiplantae; Streptophyta; Magnoliopsida; Arecales; Arecaceae.
CUAUGAUCCGGCUCCUACUCACCCCUCCGGUGGCCCUGAGCCAUCCUUCGAGAUCAAAAAGGGGCUGAGAGGAUGGGUCCUCGCCAUGCCGCGAUACGAUAUACUCCGUAUAAUCUACCUAUGCAGUUUAGACAUUCAUUAGUCCAUAUAUAUCAAUAUAUAUAAAAACUUAAUAAAUAAUGUUUUAAGUUAUUAUCGCGAUCUGUCGAGAACGAGGAUCUAAGUAAUCACCAGUCCUCCUAGAUUGUUGUGUGGCCUCCC